Molecule: ribosomal RNA, 433 nt
Filed under: uncultured bacterium
Lineage: Bacteria
Description: partial 16S ribosomal RNA
Rfam family: Bacterial small subunit ribosomal RNA
Source: RNAcentral
AACGAACGCUGGCGGCAUGCCUAACACAUGCAAGUCGAACGAGACCUUCGGGUCUAGUGGCGCACGGGUGCGUAACGCGUGGGAACCUGCCCUUAGGUUCGGAAUAACUCCCCGAAAGGGGUGCUAAUACCGGAUAAUGUCUUCGGACCAAAGAUUUAUCGCCUUUGGAUGGGCCCGCGUUGGAUUAGCUAGUUGGUAGGGUAAAAGCCUACCAAGGCGACGAUCCAUAGCUGGUCUGAGAGGAUGAUCAGCCACACUGGGACUGAGACACGGCCCAGACUCCUACGGGAGGCAGCAGUGGGGAAUAUUGGACAAUGGGCGAAAGCCUGAUACAGCAAUGACGCGUGAGUGAUGAAGGCCUUAGGGUUGUAAAGCUCUUUUAACCGGGAUGAUAAUGACAGUACCGGGAGAAUAAGCUCCGGCUAACUCCGUG